Malus domestica (apple) is the source of this 1153-nucleotide non-coding RNA. The record is from RefSeq and is a predicted model, not a curated record. Lineage: Eukaryota; Viridiplantae; Streptophyta; Magnoliopsida; Rosales; Rosaceae.
GCUUUUCUGGAGUAUUUUAUAGGUAAAGGUGCUGAAGACACUGUUUAAGAUUGUUUUAUUGGAGGAAAGUAACAACCAGUGGAAUUUUAGCAGACCAAUUCUGAGCUUGAUACUUAUUUAUGAGCAGGACACAAGUUUCGGGAAAGAAGCAGAAAAGCAGGAGGAAAAGGAGCAGAAAAAGGAGCAGAAAAGCAGGAAAGGUGCCAGCCCAUCAUGAGAAGCCGAAGGAAAAAGCAAAAAAAAAAAAAAAAAAAAAAAGAGAAAGAAAGGAGAGACAUACGAAGGAGAGAGAGGGAGCCCAAAAAGAUAGCAGAAAAGGAGAGAGAGCCGUGUGUGGUGAAAAGAGAGUGAGGACGAAGGAGAGAGAGGAGGGGCGAAAGAGGGCGGCGAGACAGACGGAAGAAAGCACAGCAAAGGAGUCUGAGGGUUUUUUAAACUUAAUUUUAAUGUUUCUUAUUAUGAAUUCAGUGACAAUUUCAUCUUUGUUUCGGAAAAUUUGCGUAUGAAUUUCGUUUAUGUAAUUUUGGGUGUUCUGUUUAUAUCGUUAGAUUCGUCGUCCGAGUGUAUGAUUUGCUUCUGUUUUUUUUGUUUCAGGAGACGUUGCUCUACGUUUCUUUGGGCUUUUGUGUGCAGUUUUCGAAGCCCUUUGUGCUAAAGAACAGAAAUGAAUGUCCAAGCUAAAGGGGGGUCAGGCACACGGAACUGACCCAAAUAUUCUGCAAUAUUUAGGAAGUGGAAGAAAUAAAUAUUUGAGGUCUGAGAUAUACUUGUAUGAAAAAAGUUGAUUUUUUAAAAUUCUUCGUUUUUGGUUUUUUAAUUUUUUAACUUUUUAUGCAGGAAGAGGAAGAACCCAGAAAAUAUAUGUUCACCGGGUUUGAGGGAAUUGUGAAGAAAAAUCAUUAUCCUCUUUCCUUUUUGAAUUAAAAUAAAUAAAUUAGGCUUUAAUUUUUGAGCAAGUGCGUUGGACAUAAUCAUUACUUUCUAUUACAAUUAUUAAAAUUAAUUCAAUUAACUAAAGUUGAUUUGAAUGUAAUGAUGAUGGAGAUAUUUGCAUAGGCGAUGGAAUCUCGCUGACAACUUCCGAUAGAAUCUCUGCCUUUGAAAAAGCCACAAAAUAUGGGCUAGACAUCAUGAUAUGCCUCAAUUUUCCUUU